Molecule: ribosomal RNA, 354 nt
Filed under: Triticum aestivum (bread wheat)
Lineage: Eukaryota; Viridiplantae; Streptophyta; Magnoliopsida; Poales; Poaceae
Description: partial small subunit ribosomal RNA
Source: RNAcentral
AUGUUUGAUGUUCAAGGCUUCACACUCAUGCGGGCAGAGGAUGGUGAGCUGGGUUUUUUCUCCGUGUCAGGCCUUACUGUCCUAUUAUGGAAGAGGAACACCAUUAUCUGUAAUGGUGUUCCAUCAUGGGGGAUAGUAAGAACUGUUGAAUUGGACAGGCUACUUUCCCUGGAUUCAGAGGAGCACGUAACUGUACAUGGGUUUGCUAAGGAUAAUAAUUUGGUGUUCCUGCGGGUCGGUAUGAGCAUCGUCUUCACUGGCCAGAUUGAGCCGUUGCGGUUCAAGAAAGUUUUUGACACCUACCAAUGGCGUCGUUAUUAUCCAUUUGAAAGUGUCUAUGCUACAGGUAUCUAG